Molecule: ribosomal RNA, 251 nt
Filed under: uncultured bacterium
Lineage: Bacteria
Also listed under: 1 other name
Description: partial 16S ribosomal RNA
Rfam family: Bacterial small subunit ribosomal RNA
Source: RNAcentral
ACGGAGGGUGCAAGCGUUAAUCGGAAUUACUGGGCGUAAAGCGCACGCAGGCGGUCUGUCAAGUCGGAUGUGAAAUCCCCGGGCUCAACCUGGGAACUGCAUUCGAAACUGGCAGGCUGGAGUCUUGUAGAGGGGGGUAGAAUUCCAGGUGUAGCGGUGAAAUGCGUAGAGAUCUGGAGGAAUACCGGUGGCGAAGGCGGCCCCCUGGACAAAGACUGACGCUCAGGUGCGAAAGCGUGGGGAGCAAACAG